GAUGAACGCUGGCGGCGUGCCUAAUACAUGCAAGUCGAGCGAACAGACGAGGAGCUUGCUCCUCUGACGUUAGCGGCGGACGGGUGAGUAACACGUGGAUAACCUACCUAUAAGACUGGGAUAACUUCGGGAAACCGGAGCUAAUACCGGAUAACAUGUUGAACCGCAUGGUUCAACAGUGAAAGACGGUUUUGCUGUCACUUAUAGAUGGAUCCGCGUCGCAUUAGCUAGUUGGUAAGGUAACGGCUUACCAAGGCAACGAUGCGUAGCCGACCUGAGAGGGUGAUCGGCCACACUGGAACUGAGACACGGUUCAGACUCCUACGGGAGGCAGCAGUAGGGAAUCUUCCGCAAUGGGCGAAAGCCUGACGGAGCAACGCCGCGUGAGUGAAGAAGGUCUUCGGAUCGUAAAACUCUGUUAUUAGGGAAGAACAAAUGUGUAAGUAACUAUGCACGUCUUGACGGUACCUAAUCAGAAAGCCACGGUUAACUACGU
This 496-nucleotide ribosomal RNA is filed under the name uncultured bacterium. RNAcentral's name for it is "partial 16S ribosomal RNA". It matches the Rfam family "Bacterial small subunit ribosomal RNA", at positions 28 to 506 of the family's 1533-position model. The record is from RNAcentral.